GCGGAUGACGGGAGCUUGCUCCUUGAUUCAGCGGCGGACGGGUGAGUAAUGCCUAGGAAUCUGCCUGGUAGUGGGGGACAACGUUUCGAAAGGAACGCUAAUACCGCAUACGUCCUACGGGAGAAAGCAGGGGACCUUCGGGCCUUGCGCUAUCAGAUGAGCCUAGGUCGGAUUAGCUAGUUGGUGGGGUAAUGGCUCACCAAGGCGACGAUCCGUAACUGGUCUGAGAGGAUGAUCAGUCACACUGGAACUGAGACACGGUCCAGACUCCUACGGGAGGCAGCAGUGGGGAAUAUUGGACAAUGGGCGAAAGCCUGAUCCAGCCAUGCCGCGUGUGUGAAGAAGGUCUUCGGAUUGUAAAGCACUUUAAGUUGGGAGGAAGGGCAGUAAGCUAAUACCUUGCUGUUUUGACGUUACCGACAGAAUAAGCACCGGCUAACUCUGUGCCAGCAGCCGCGGUAAUACAGAGGGUGCAAGCGUUAAUCGGAAUUACUGGGCGUAAAGCGCGCGUAGGUGGUUUGUUAAGUUGGAUGUGAAAGCCCCGGGCUCAACCUGGGAACUGCAUCCAAAACUGGCAAGCUAGAGUACGGUAGAGGGUGGUGGAAUUUCCUGUGUAGCGGUGAAAUGCGUAGAUAUAGGAAGGGAACACCAGUGGCGAAGGCGACCACCUGGACUGAUACUGACACUGA
RNAcentral lists this ribosomal RNA (689 nucleotides) under Pseudomonas sp. RNAcentral describes it as "bacterial SSU rRNA". It matches the Rfam family "Bacterial small subunit ribosomal RNA", at positions 66 to 749 of the family's 1533-position model. The record is from RNAcentral. Lineage: Bacteria; Pseudomonadati; Pseudomonadota; Gammaproteobacteria; Pseudomonadales; Pseudomonadaceae.